AUUGGUCGAGGUCAUCUCAUCAGCCUUCUCGGCGAAGUGAGGUGUUACAAGUUAUUACAUUCGGCACAUUGAAAGCCGAAUUUGAUAUUGAACUUCGUAAGAAUAGUAACCUUGUCUUCAGGUUCGAGAGCCCAAGAGGCCGAGACGUGUUCCUUUCUCGGCCGCAAUCGCAAGACGUAGAAGUCAGCCGCGCACCCAACGUAACAUCAACAAAUUUACUCCUCGGCCGAGCUCGGCCGACGAGUUGGCACGCCCCGCAUUCACCGAAGGACGUAGUUAGCUUAUAGAUUACUCGGCCUGCGCGCCACGUAGGCUUGGUAGUUUCUAGGGUCAACAUUUUGGCACGCCUAGUGGGACCUAGUGCUAAACUACGAAGUUCAUGCCAAUUGAAACACGAUCGGUAAAAAAGAAAACAGCUAUGGGAAAGUCAACAGCAGAUUUGCCGAUUCAGAACAUAGGACAAAGUGUGGCACAGGCGCAGAAUCCCCUUAGCGCUGUGACACCUGAGUCCACAAGCGCGACUCGCCGAAAGAGAGAAGUUAAUCUCAACGGUCAACUCCGCGAUCUAGAAAUCCCUAACAGAAGCACUUGCGUUCUCAAUGAAGGGAUAGUAGAGGAAUGCGACGAGGAUGGUGGUAAAGGAUCUGAUCCACCAACAAGGUCGUUUCUUCGAAAGCGACUAGACGAGCAGUCUCGGUCAGUCGAGCAGACGUUAAGUCGAGGCAUUGAUAAGCUGCAUGACGUGAUACUCAGUUCCAAUGAGCGACAAACCAGAUUGCUCGAAAUGCUGGUUAGUAAAGUCAGUGACAGCAGGCCUUUCGAUCUUCUCCAGCACUUACCACCAGGAAACAAUCCGUUACCAAUUGUACCGGCCGAGCCUAUUCCUGCUCGGCUCAAACCAAUUGACUUGGAAAAAGAAGGAGGGUCGAAUAGUAGGUCAGACGGAACCGACCAAAGGGUCGAAGCAACACCUGUUGAUAAUGGCAAACUGAAAUUUCCAGAGAAGAAGAUGAGUGUUAAUACUGACUCGUUCCCCACGGCAACAGUAAAUAUGGUCGAUGCGUGCCUACCUAAGGACAAAGGGAAAGGAAAGGCCGAAGUUGUUGCGACGCAACGCUUGCGGAAUCAGAAUUCUCGGCCACGGUUCAUGGCCAAUUUUCGUUCAAACGAACCACCUACAGCUUUAACGGGACCCGCUAUUGUCAAACCUAUGAUGGAUUAUAGCACCGAUGAAGACAGUGGGACGGCGGUUUUGUGCAGUAAAUGUAGAGCAAAGGUCGACAGUGAGCCAGAGGAGAACACCUCUUUGCUAAUAACAAAACGACCUAUGGCCGCAACCCGGCAAAAGGUAGCCAACGUAGGCUAACAUCAAGGGGUUUUUGAUAGGCUCGGUCCUAAAGUACGGAUGGAAGAAACACCCCCGGUCAGGCGGCGCCUCGAUUUUGAUGCUUCAUUCUAUAACGAUGAUUACUAUAAACGUAAUUCUAGCAGUUCAGAAUCAUCGCGGAGCCAAAAAACCUUCAAACCUCCCGAGCCUAGAGAUCAACGUUGGUAUACAUAUCAUUCUUCGAAAGGCGUCUACACCGCAUUGUCCAAAUCCCAGAAACGCCGGCAUCAAAGGAUAGAUUGCAUGGCCCGUCGACGGGCAGCCCAAGAAACUUCGGUCCCUAAAUGGCAGCCGAAUGAUACAAUUGCUACUGAUGAUGAACGACCACCUCCAGCUAUUAUGACAGAGUUGGUUCAAGGAAAACGGCUGGUCGACCGAGAUGUCGAAACCACGUUUGAAGAGGCUAAUAAAAGGAUCAAACUUCUUCUUCGACCAGGGGAGAUGAAGGCACGCCUUGAACAUUUCAGGCAAGAGGCCGAAAGCAAAUUAGCCCCGCCGGCUAUACAAGAACCUUUGAUCAAAAUUCGACGGAAUUUGCAUCCCCCGUUCCUUGGGGAGGCUUUGGAAUAUAUGCGUAAAUUCCAUAAGAAACAUUCGGCCAACGAUCUGUAUGGUUUGCUGAAGGCAUGCCAGGACACCAUUGAUCUAGUCCUGACUUGUCCUGAUGCCGAGCGAAUCAUCCAGAAAACCUCAGACCCAGGAUUGAAAGCAAGGUUCCAGCACAUACGAGAAGCUCGUGUCCUUGGAUUUGAAGUCGACCCAUACACUGAUAUCGAUGUAGUCGACCUUCCUUUCUCAAUGGAGGACCUUUAGUAUUUACGAUAUCACUUCGAAGUUUUUUCGGCUGUUUCGCUCUUCGACCUUACGACCGACGAAAUAGCACGUGUUGCACGUCUGGAUGCGUAUCUCGACACCAGCGAUGCCCGGCUACACUACCAAGAGUAGAUCCAGGUCCUGACCCCAAGCACACUGUCGAUCUCAACCUCACCUGAGGCAAUCACGCAGAGCCAACAAGUUGCCGAAGCAGCACCGCAGGAUCAAACCAUCGAAGAAGGAACAGAAGAUUCUCGUUGUCCAACUUUGACAACAACGGAGUCCGCAGUCGCCGACCAGCCGACAGAUGAGGCUAGCGAGGAGAGUCCUAACCCGUUGGGCCCGUCAGUCCUCGAUAACAUGGAAAUCAGUAUGGUCUAUGUGUUACCCUCUGAUUUUCAAUCAAGCACGGCUCAACUGAAUUUCCUCGAUGGUGAUGUAGUCGCCGAAGAAGCCGGCCAUGUUGAUUUUGUAUCUGUUGCUGAAGUUGAGUCAACAAUAAAAGAUGAUAGUCUAAAGGCCGUUUUGGUUGAAUUGUUUCCUCGUUCAUCAUCGGCCAAACUUCACCAUUUAAAGCCGUUGUAUGUGACGGCCCACAUCGAGGGAUAUCCAGUUUCUAAAGUUUUUGUCGACUGUGGAGCUACCGUCAAUAUCAUUCCUCUGAACAUCAUGAAGGUCUUACGUCGCUCGAAUGACGAACUUAUUCCGUCAGGGAUCACAAUGAGUAGUUUCGUCGGCGACAAAUCCCAAACCAAAGGUGUAUUUCCGUUAACUGUGAAUAUUGCCGGUCGCACUUACAUGACCGCCUUUUUUGUGGUUGAUUCCAAAACCGAGUAUAAUGCACUGCUCGGUCGAGAUUGGAUUCACCAAACCAGCUGUAUUCCUUCCUCAUUGUAUCAAGUGCUUGUCUUUUGGGACGACAACUCGAUCACUGUUCACCCGGUCUAUAGCCAGCCCUUCGAAGCUAACAUGAUCCAAGCACGGUAUUAUGAUGACCACGUCGGCUACAUUACUUUGCAAGGCUUCAAUGAAGAAGGACGGCCGACUCGGAUUUCGGUUCAGAAAGCUAUCGAGGUUGGCGCCGAGACUGUCCACCAGGAUUCGGUGAGACUUGGAUUAGCCAACUUCUUCCCCGAAGUCGAUGUUUGACACCGAUCAGGAAACACGUAGGGCCGCGAUUUCAUCUACUAUGGAAUGACUGCUGGCCCAUUGGUAUACUAUAUCUAAACAACCAAAUUCGGGCGUCAACCUCGUCGAGUUCCUUGCCGAAGGAGAUAAUGGUCCUGUCUUAUCUCUUGAUAAAAUUCAAGCUGCCCCGGCCGAGCUCGAAGAUCAUCGGCCCCAAGUUAAGGACCCCCUGGAAGAGAUUAAUGUUGGGACGGCCGAUGACCCACGGCCUUUGUUUGUUAGUGCUUUACUUUCCCAACAAAUGAAGGACGAGUUUCGUGCCUUGCUUACGGAGUUCAAAGAUUGUUUUGCUUGGAGUUACCAUGAAAUGCCCGGCUUAGAUCGUACUUUGGUCGAGCAUGAAUUACGUAUUAAGCUCGGAUGUAAACCUUUUCGUCAGCCACCUCGUCGAUUCUCGACCGAAGUGCAACUCGGCAUCAAGGAUGAAUUGGUUCGGCUUUUGAAAGCCGGGUUCAUUCGGACAGCUCGAUAUGUCGAAUGGUUGGCAAAUAUCGUUCCUGUUUUAAAGAAAAAUUGUGCAUUACGCAUCUGCAUCGAUUUCAGAAAUCUGAAUCUGGCAACUCCCAAAGAUGAGUAUCCAAUGCGGAUUUCAGAUCUGUUAAUCGAUGCCGCGAUGAAUCAUGCAAUCUUAUCCUUUAUGGAUGGACAUGCCGGGUACAACCAAAUAUUCAUUGCCGAAGCCGAUGUGCACAAAACUGCUUUCCGUUGCCCGAGGGCACUUGGCACUUAUGAAUGGGUUGUUAUGCCAUUCGGCCUAAAAAAUGCCGGCGCCACAUACCAACGGGCGAUGAACACCAUCUUUCAUGAUUUAAUUGGAACCAUCGUCGAAGUUUAUAUCGACGAUGUUGUCAUCAAAUCUAAACGCCGCCGGACACAUCUGGACGAUCUCCGACAGGCUUUCCUCCGCAUGCGUCGGCACAACCUCAAGAUGAAUCCUGCCAAAUGUGCCUUCGGCGUGUCGGCCGGGAAUUUUCUUGGUUUCCUCGUGCAUCACCGUGGGAUUAAAGUCUAUGCGAAUAAGGCACGCACAAUCAUUAAUGCCCCACCCCCAACGAUGAAGAAACAACUCCAGUCCUUACUCGGACAGAUCAAUUUCCUCCGUCGAUUUAUUGCUAACUCGGCAGGUAAAAUGAAACGUUCUCCACGCUUUUGAAACUCAAGGACUCAGAUAAAUUCGUGUGGAACGACAAGCAUCAGGCGGCGUUUACGCAAAUCAAAGUCUCCCUCACGAACCCAUCUGUCCUGGUUCCUCCUCGGCGCGGUAAGCCUCUUAAGCUUUAUAUCUCGGCGGCCGAAGAGUCCAUCGGCUGCCUCCUCGCGUAAGACAACGACGCCGGACGGGAGCAGGCUAUUUUUUAUCUCAAUCGCAAUCUCAGUCAACCAGAGAUCAAUUAUCCAGCCGUCGAGAAGCUGUGCGUGGCCGUAUUUUUUCGCCGCUUCCAAGCUUCGGUAUUAUAUGCUCCCAUCGGUCACCCAAGUCAUUGCUCAGACCGACGUCAUCCGCUACAUGCUCACCCGACCAAUCGUAAAGGGCCGCAUUGGGAAAUGGACAAUGGCACUGUCCGAAUUUAGCUUGCAGUACGUAGCCCAGAAAGCUGUCAAGGGCCAGACACUGGCUGAUUUCCUUGCUCAACACCCCUCCCCAUAUGGUUUUGGGGGCAACGACGUUGAAAUCGGCAUGGUUCAGACGCGCGACAACCACUGGACGAUGUACUUUGACGGCUCCAGUACGUCAUCUUCGGUGGGCGUGGGAAUUGUCAUUCAAUCCCCAAACCACGAUCGCUAGUUAUUUUCGCUUAAGUUGGAUUUUGAAUGCACCAACAAUCAGGCCGAAUACGAAGCCCUAAUCAUCGGCCUUGGAAUCCUUCAUGACCUGCGGGCGACCCGCGCCCUCGUCCUCGGCGACUCCGAACUUGUGAUUAACCAACUUAAUGGUUCUUUUCGUUGCAUGAGUUGUACCCUGGCACCUUACAACAUGGUCGCCAGCUAUUUGGCCGAAUCCUUCGACGGUAUUACAUUUAAACAUAUUUCCCGGAGUCAUAAUACCGACGCAGACGAAUUGGCUCAAAUUGCCUCCGGCGCACAACUCCUGAGGGGCAAGCUAGGUCGAGAGAUACCGGUGUUACUACAAUUAUACCCGACCUUGGUUAACCAGUAAAUCCUCCGACGCGACGACAUGAUACGCACCAGGGUUAUGUCCUUACCUUCGUUGUUAGAUCGGCAGGACUCUGUAGAGAUUUGCACGACCGAGGUAAUACUAGAUGAUUGGAGAAAACCUAUUAUGCAGUACCUUGACAAUCCCAAUGGAAAACAUAGUCGCAGGACACGAGUUCACGCCACGAACUAUGUCACGUACCAGAACGAGUUAUACAGAAAAGGCGAAGAUGGUUUGUUACUGCUAUGCCUCGGCCCCCAAGAGAGUGCUCGAGCGAUUACAGAAGUCCAUGAAGGGGUAUGCGGAGCUCAUCAAUCCGGACGGAAAAUGCGAUGGCUACUUCGACGGCACGGCUAUUUUUGGCCAAGAAUACUAAAGGAUUGUAUCGAGUUUGCACGAUGAUGUGUACAGUGCCAAAUUCACGGGCCUAUACAAAGGGUCCCGGCCGAAUCAUUGCAUUCGGUCAUUAAGCCAUGGCCGUUUAGAAGAUGGGCCAUGGACGUAAUCGGCAAAAUCACACCAUCUUCUGGAGCUGCUAAGCACGCAUGGAUAAUAGUCGCAACCGAUUACUUUACUAAGUGGGUCGAAGCGAAAUCAUAUGCCGAACUAACAUCUAAAUAAGUUUGUGACUUCGUGGAGGAACACAUUGUGACCAGAUUUGGCGUACCAGAAACGAUCAUAACGGACAAUGGAACAAUCUUCACAGCCGAGAGGUUUAAAGAGUAUACGGCAAAUUUGAAAAUUCGGCUUGAACAGUCUACACCAUAUUACCCACAAGCGAAUGGGCAGGCCGAGGCAAGUAAUAAAGUGUUGAUCGGCAUCCUCGAAAAAAUAAUAAAAGAAAGGCCUGGCAUGUGGCAUUUGAAGUUGAACGAGGCAUUAUGGGCAUAUCGAACAUCGCCUUGAUCGACGACUGCGACAACCCCAUACGCAUUAACUUACGGACACGAUGCAAUGUUACCAGUCGAGUUAAGCAUAAAUUCGUUGCGAUUAAUUGAACAAAGUAGUUUGUUUAGCGCCGAAUAUAAUCAGUCCAUGAGACAAGAUUUAGAAGAUUUGGAAGAAGUGCGACUUGACGCUUAUAACUUACUGGUGGCACAAAAAUGGAUUGCCGAGCGAGCCUAUAAUCAAAAGGUACGAUAGAAAACAUUCGGCGAGGGUGAUUUGGUUUGGCAAACAGUGUUACCCGUAAGACUAAAAGACCCUAGGUUCGGUAAGUGGUCGCCAAAUUGGGAAGGACCGUUCGUUGUACAUAAAGUAUACGGAAAAGGGGCGUAUCAUCUUAAAGACCGGACCGGUUUGGUUCACAGAUUACCAAUCAACGGGAAGUUUUUGAAGAAAUACUACCCGGUCACGUGGGAAAUGCAGGAAUAGAAAACCAAUUCAUUAAGAUUGAUAAGCAUGUACAAAAUGAGUAAGUCGAUCGGUUUACAUUCAAGUACAUUCAAGGUGAAGAGGGUAGAAGAAUGCCGAGCAGGGCCUUCAACUCCAACCACCGCACCUCGCCCAUGAUAACCUCGGCUUGCCAGCUUCAACCGCUUGACCCGUUUUGUGGUCGCCGCGUACUCAGUUAGGUAAUCUUUUCCGCCUGACUCGAAGUCCUUUGCAAGCUCGGAGGCAAUGGUCGACCUACGUUUCGCUAGUUCGGCCAUUUGACGGUCGAGCUCGGCUAAUGCUUCUCCUUUUGCCUUUAAAGCGUCGAUUUUCAGACGGAUUGUCUUAGACAGCCGUGGCAGUUUGCAGGUCUUGUUCAGCCUUUAGAGCGGUCUGGAAGAUACUAAAUGUCUCCCGAACCCGCUCCAAGGCAGACGAUGCCCGAACGAUAACAUCUCCGCUCAGACGACCGUCAUCUCCGAGGUCGUUCAGACAUGCGCCAAGCAAAUCAAGACCGUGUGUUCGAGUACUUGCGAUGCCGAAAGCGACAAGACUUCUCGCAACUGAGUUAGAGCGGUUGAGUCGACAACUUCAGUCGUGGCGGCCGAAGGACCAGACCCUGCAGUUGUGCUGGAGAUGAGGGCUUUGAAUUCGACCUCCCACGAAGCCUGCACACACAAAUCAGGUUAAGCUUAAAAGAAGGCAUGAAAAGGAUAGCAAGAAGGUUUCGUUUUUUUUUAACCUGCCGAGAAGAGACCUCGGCCAUGUCUCCAGGAUCGUUGCUCGAACCUAAAGAACUCAAUGGCCGAGCCCAGUGUUUUAGACUGCUUCUCAGUUCACGCGGCCGAUGGAGGUUAUCUACGUUUGAUGACCACUGAGUCGGCCAAGAAAUAUAGAUAACGCCCUUCGGUGCAUAGAACUUUCGAUGAAAAGAGUGUAUAGGCACCUAACAUUUAGUAUUUUCCUCGUUUAGAAUUCUAAGGCAGAAAAGUGAUCAAGGAAAGACGGUAGAGGGUACUUACGAAGGCCGAAGUAGCCUCCUGCAGAGGAAUGUGGAGGUCCUGGUCUUGAGGAUGAACAGGCGUUUCCGCCGUUACCUCUGGCUCCUCGGCCGGUCGUUUACCACGGUCGGCCGUAGAGGGGCCGACUGAGACAGCCGCUUCGGACGAAGGAGGGACGUCCUGGUCCUGAGGAUGAGCGGGGGGUUCGGCCACCGCUGUUGGUUCCUCGACCAGACGUUUACCACGGUUAGCCGUGGAGAGGCCGGCUUGAACAGCCAUCUCGGACAUCGAAGGAGGUUGUCGGCGAGUAUGAGGGCGAUUUGCCAGCGGAGCCUCGUCGCUCUCCUCGCUCUCUUCCAGGACGAAGACCGAGGGCUUUGGAUUUACAAGGGAAGUUCCCUCAGUCGCAGAGACCGCCUUUUCCAGGACAGGUGCAGCCUCGACGGAGGGGGGUACAACUGGUGUACCGGCCCCAGAAACAGGCCGCACUUGAACUGUCUCUGUGGCCGGAGUUAGCUGUUUCUUGACCAAGGGUUGGCCGAUGGCAGAAGAAGGGGAAACACUGGGAGUCGUCACCCCCGUAGUUUGACUGGAGAUGACGUGGAUCUCCCGUGCUCCCUUCUUUGCUAGUUUUUUGACCUGCUUGGCGGGCGGCGGAGGUUCGACAGCCGGCUCGACCUCUUGGCGAGGCCGUUUGUUCAGCACGGCCCGACCAGCAGUCUUAGCCCUCUUAGCCACGACCGAUUUUUUCUCGGUCGUAGCCGCAACAACUACCUCCACUUUUCUCAAUGGCCGACUACCUGAGAGAAUAAAAGCAAAUCAGCAAGGCAAAUCAAUAUGCAAAGUUGAAGGAAAAUGGGAGAAAUGAACAGUUACCUUGAGCUUAGGGGGCCGAGGCCUUCUUAGGUCGUUCACCGAAGAGUUUGUUCAACACACAUUCGACCGGAGCACCAAAGAACUCCUGGGUAUAAUCUUCCCACCAAUCACCGAAGGUGUCAGUGCAAAGGGUUUCUGGGGUGGCCGGUCGAAGGUGAAAUUUUUGGCAUUGCUCUUGGAACUCCCUCGCGGCGGUAUUGCAUUCAUUCUCCGAGGAACGGGGUUCACGUCCACGGCUUAGGACGGUUCGGGAGGAGAAAAGGGGAACCGGGCAGCCUUGGAGGUAGCCGAGCUGUCGAGCAAGGAAGUUAGGAUGGUACACUUCCCAACCCGCUCGUUUCCCAUCACAGCCAAGAGGAAGGUCGCGAGUAAGUACGAACGACCCCCAGGACUGACGAAGGUCGGCAUCUUCGUCCGCGCCCCACAUGGAUGUGGGUAGCCUGAUGGAGGAAAGAUAGUCUCGACGACGACAUAUUAGGAAUUCGUCAUUGGAAAGGUCAUCAAGGGCGAAGAGGUACUUAAAUACCUCUUCGGCUUGGUGAGGGGGUGUCGGUCGGGAGGCCAGCUGAGGUCCGAGCGCUUCCAUUGGCGAGAAAUCGGCUAUGGCCGGCCGAAGGGAGGCGAAGUAAACUUGCAACCAGAGUUGGAAGACCCAGAGGGGACCAUUCUGGUGUGGGUCGAUCUUGUGAAGCGUCGUCUCGGCCAGGCAGCGGAAAAGAUGGGUAAGAAUGUUGGAACUAAGUGACAGGACGUGGCCACUAGCCAGGGCUUCGGCUACCGGCAUGUUCUCGACCAAUCAUUUGUUCGAUUUGGUACAACAAAUGUACUUGUUGUACCAAUAGAAAAGGAAAGCUUCAUGUUUUCCUUCUCGCAGGUCAUCUUCUCCUCGGCCAGUGAAAUGGAGAUAGAGGGUGUUGUAAUUGAAGAAAUUCUUGUGGAGUUUCUGAAUGUCUUCUUUCGACGGGAUUUGACCUUCACGGUUCAACGUCUCAAAAGCCCGUCGAUCGAAAAGCGUCUUCAGGUCAACAUUCGACGGGUACCCGGAGAGGGUCGUUCAGCCAUAAGGUCAUGAUGGCAUGAUGGUUAAGGUAGCCGCACGCCUUAGACGUCAUUAUUGGGGAUUGGCCGUGUUAGAGGACGCCACGUGGGGAGUUUGGUUAGCAGGAUCAGGAUCGUGCAAUCGUGUUCAAUAAAUGCACCUUGGAAAUAGGGCACUAGGGUUCUAAGUAUUAGAUUCGCUUCUUCAAGGUCGAAACUCGGCCGAAGAAUUCAGGCCGAGGACCUCAGAAGCGAGGGGGCAAUGUUUGGGCCCAAAAUAAUAGUUUGGGCCGAGUAAAGAAUCAUUCUCGGCCCGGAAGGCCUUGCGGCGUGGAUCGUUCAGUACGUGGGCCUCCAAACCUAGGUCGGCUAGGUCAUAACGCAAGACAAGUCGAGUCCUAGUGCAAUAGGGAGUCUCGGCAGGAUUAAUAACUCGGAAGCGAAUCCGGCUCGGUUCAGGACUAAGUUCACAAUCCUAGUGGAAAUAGGACUGGUCGAGUUGGUGUUGAUCCAGAGAGAAGACCUAGUCCGAGUAGGGUUUUAACUCGGAUUCAAAGAGAGCCGUUGCUAUAAAUAGGAGAGGUUGUGCAUCGUUUCAAGCCUCCUGCAAAUCAAUACAAAAUUGCCCUGCGCAAACUCUCAACAACUUGAGAUUUUUUUUCUUUUUUUUUUUCGCUGACACAUCUUCCGUUGGCAUCAACAGCACUGUGGAAGCAACCGGUGAUAUCUUAAGUCGGCAUAGAUAGCUCUGUCACCGUAGAAUCAGUCGGUCUCGCAAUAUCUUCCGUUGGCAUCAACAACACUGUGGUGAGAACGGUUGAUUAUCUAUCCAAGUCUCGGUCGGGAAGGAUUUCUAAAUCCUUAUUGGUCGAGGUCAUCUCAUCAGCCUUCUCGGCGAAGUGAGGUGUUACAAGUUAUUACAUUCGGCACAUUGAAAACCGAAUUUGAUAUUGAACUUCGUAAGAAUAGUAACCUUGUCUUCAGGUUCGAGAGCCCAAGAGGCCGAGACGUGUUCCUUUCUCGGCCGCAAUCGCAAGACGUAGAAGUCAGCCGCGCACCCAACG
This 10896-nucleotide long non-coding RNA is filed under the name Malus domestica (apple). RNAcentral's name for it is "long non-coding RNA (MDOM_LNC001266)". The record is from RNAcentral. Lineage: Eukaryota; Viridiplantae; Streptophyta; Magnoliopsida; Rosales; Rosaceae.